CCCCGCUGAACUUAAGCAUAUUAAUAAGCGGAGGAAAAGAAACUAACAAGGAUUCCCCUAGUAACGGCGAGUGAAGCGGGAAGAGCUCAAGCUUAAAAUCUCCGUGCAAGUUUUGCGCGGCGAAUUGUAGUCUAUAGAGGCGUGAUCAGUGUGGGCGCUUGGGGCAAGUUCCUUGGAAGAGGACAGCAUGGAGGGUGAUACUCCCGUUCAUCCCUGAGUUGCUCGUGCGUACGAUCCGUUUUCUUUGAGUCGCGUUGUUUGGGAAUGCAGCGCAAAGUAGGUGGUAAAUUCCAUCUAAAGCUAAAUAUUGGUGCGAGACCGAUAGCGAACAAGUACCGUGAGGGAAAGAUGAAAAGAACUUUGAAAAGAGAGUUAAAGAGUACCUGAAACUGCUGAAAGGGAACCGAAUCGUUUCCAGUGUCUAUAAUCCGUGGUAUAUUUCAUUGGCGAGUGUGUGCGUGCGUGUGCUGUGGCAGCGGCCUUUUUGGCUGCGCUCGGCGUGUGUGCUGUGUGUGCUUGCUGGUGCCCUGUGCUGCGGUGGGACGUCAAGGUCAGUUCGUAUGCUGCGGGAAAUGGCCGCCGAGGAGGUAGGGCUUACGCUUGCGUUUGUCUGUUAUAUCUUGGUGGACGAGUAGUCGCGGUUGGGACUGAGGUGCCUACAACGUGUUUUUGAGUGGGCCUGUGUCUCUGUGUGCRCCGUGUGCGGAUAGCUUGCUAUGCGUGUGUGGUUGUGUGUGGAUUGAUGUGGGUUUUAACUUGUUGCCGUUCGGGACGUUGACGAAAUGGAGCGAUUUGACCCGUCUUGAAACACGGACCAAGGAGUCUAACAUGUGUGCAAGUGUUAGGGUGUGGAAACCCCAGCGCGAAAUGAAAGUGAAGGGCAGCGUAAGUUGUCUGAGGUAGGAAAUGCUGCGGGCUUCGGUCUGCGGUGUGGCACUAUCGACCGAUCAUGAACCUUCGUGGUGAAAGAUUUGAGUUUGAGCACAUAUGUUGGUACCCGAAAGAUGGUGAACUAUGCCUGAGUAGGGUGAAGCCAGGGGAAACUCUGGUGGAAGCUCGUAGCGAUUCUGACGUGCAAAUCGAUCGUCAAACUUGGGUAUAGGGGCGAAAGACUAAUCGAACCAUCUAGUAGCUGGUUCCCUCCGAAAUUUCCCUCAGGAUAGCAGCAACUUAUUUACGAUAGUUUUAUGAGGUAAAGCGAAUGAUUAGAGGAUUCGGGGAAGAAACUUCCUCGACCUAUUCUCAAACUUUAAAUCUGUAAGACCUGCAGGUUUCUUAAUUGAACUUGUGGAUGUGAAUAUCAAGUUGCUAGUGGGCCAUACGGGGUAAGCUCGUCUGGCG
RNAcentral lists this ribosomal RNA (1341 nucleotides) under Phytophthora ipomoeae. Its description in RNAcentral is "eukaryotic LSU rRNA". It matches the Rfam family "Eukaryotic large subunit ribosomal RNA", at positions 24 to 1155 of the family's 3401-position model. Lineage: Eukaryota; Oomycota; Peronosporomycetes; Peronosporales; Peronosporaceae. The record is from RNAcentral.